RNAcentral lists this transfer RNA (85 nucleotides) under Candidatus Nomurabacteria bacterium. RNAcentral's name for it is "tRNA-Leu". It matches the Rfam family "tRNA". From Rfam's summary of the family: Transfer RNA (tRNA) molecules are approximately 80 nucleotides in length. Their secondary structure includes four short double-helical elements and three loops (D, anti-codon, and T loops). Lineage: Bacteria; Candidatus Nomuraibacteriota. The record is from RNAcentral.
GCCCGAGUGGUGAAAUUGGUAUACACGUACGCUUCAGGUGCGUAUGCCGCAAGGUGUGCUGGUUCAAGUCCAGUCUCGGGCACCA